CCCCGAAUCGUGAGGAAUUGUAGCUGCUGUCUGAUAAUGAAAGAAGGCAACGUGACAAGUUGUUGCCGUUUUUUUAUUUCGUCUUCUCUUCCCCACCUUCUGUAACCACAGUUUGCCUUUCUCCCACGUAGUUUUGUUGCCAUGGUGAUGGGAUGUUGUUGCCAGUAGGCAUGACUCGGUAAAUAAGAGGGCCAUCUGGCCAAACCAUUAGAAGGGGGUAGGCCACUGUCCUGCCUUGGAUAAAUCAAUACCUCAGGCAGACCAUCGCCUGAGGUGGGUUUCUCUGCACUGUUGUCCUUGCAAUGUGUAAUGGCACAUCAGAUAGCAUUGGCUUUUGGAGGAAGGAUGCUUAGGAUGGGACUGGCUCAGGCUCUGCAGCCUUCCCCACUGUAAGCAGUGCACACUGUACUGCUGUAAAGCCCCCUGCAUGGAUCCCUGCAAUGGCUUCACUUCUAUGUAAUAACCUCUGUUCGACUUCAGCUCUACCAGGCCCAAAUGUAAUAAUGAGAGAAUCAAACGCUCGUCUAGACUGCUUCGGGAACCUCCGCAUUUCAAAGUCCUGCAUAUUUGUGUGAAGUCAGCACAUCUCGUCUGCCCCGAGGGGCUUCUAAGAGCCAGCGUCUGUCAUAACAAAGGGUGCCAUGGGGGUCGUAGAACCUUGCUUAAACCCUUUCUGAAUCGGUCUCCAUGGUAAGGGGUCCCUCUAUGGCUCUCCUGUGAGGUCCAUUAGUCUAUUUGGGGCUUAUUACAGUAAUCCUACGCUGAUGGAAUUCAGCGACUUAUAGUAAUCUCUCCUUUAUGUAACAGUAGAGUAACCUCAGUGGCCCUUGACUUCCCACAUUCUUCAGAAUUUAACAUCAAUUGCCAUUAACUAUACUUAAUACAGUACACUGGCUACAAGGUUGGACAUGAGUUUGGUGUAUUUUUAUUUCAAUGUACCAUUUUUUUUAUUUUUUUUCAUGGACAAACCAUUGUGAUUUGUAAAUAACUACAUACACGUACCUCUGGGUUAAGUAAAAGUGUUUUAAUCGAUUGUGUCACAGAAAACAAGAUUCAUGUGUAGCACCUGGUAAAGGAUGUGGAAAGGGACAAAGAUGUUGGACUGACUGUAUAUCCACUCCCUCCCUUCCACAUCCUUCAGAACCCCUUUCCAUCUUUUCCUCUGUCUUUUCAAUAAAAAUUGACUUAAGGUAAAGGAUUUUCUCUGGCAUUCCAUGUUGAAGAUCAAAGGAUGCUGCCCCCAGUGGCCCGGGGUCUCUAUACAUUUUAUAUUCAGAUAUUUUUUCUUGGAAAACUCCCCUCGGGGUGGGGGUGGGGGGUAGGCUUUGAUUUUCUUAGAAUUUUUCCUUUAGUCCUUAAUUUCCUCUCCGUUUUCCCUCAUAGAGUGCAUUACUCUUACUGCUCCAGUGGACCAUUGGCUUCAGCCUACUUUAAGAGUGCAGAGACUCAGACGACCAUUUCUUUUUGUACAGCAUAUCUGUAUUGGGGGCUGCGGUUAUAGUCACUGGUUGCAUAAGCCAUGUCUUCCUGUGUCCCCUUUGAUUCAGUUAUGGCGAAUGAGCAGUGGACACAUUUGCUGACAGUUAAACAUCACUUGUCUCUCAAUUUGAAAGGUAAAAUGGCUGUCUGUGUGAUGGGUGGAAAUGUAAGACUUUGGGG
This is a long non-coding RNA of Clupea harengus (Atlantic herring), 1659 nucleotides long. NCBI's taxonomy places the organism in Eukaryota, Metazoa, Chordata, Actinopteri, Clupeiformes, Clupeidae. The record is from Ensembl.